UACGUAGGGUGCGAGUGUUAAUCGGAAUUACUGGGCGUAAAGCGUGCGCAGGCGGUGAUGUAAGACCGAUGUGAAAUCCCCGGGCUUAACCUGGGAACUGCAUUGGUGACUGCACUGCUGGAGUAUGGCAGAGGGGGGUGGAAUUCCACGUGUAGCAGUGAAAUGCGUAGAGAUGUGGAGGAACACCGAUGGCGAAGGCAGCCCCCUGGGCUAACACUGACGCUCAGGCACGAAAGCGUGGGGAGCAAACAGG
RNAcentral lists this ribosomal RNA (253 nucleotides) under uncultured bacterium. RNAcentral describes it as "partial 16S ribosomal RNA". It matches the Rfam family "Bacterial small subunit ribosomal RNA", at positions 524 to 776 of the family's 1533-position model. The record is from RNAcentral.